Molecule: ribosomal RNA, 253 nt
Filed under: uncultured bacterium
Lineage: Bacteria
Description: partial 16S ribosomal RNA
Rfam family: Bacterial small subunit ribosomal RNA
Source: RNAcentral
GACAGAGGGUGCAAACGUUGUUCGGAAUUACUGGGCGUAAAGCGUGUGUAGGCGGUCUCGAAAGUCGGAUGUGAAAGCCCUGGGCUCAACCCAGGAAGUGCACCCGAAACUGUGAGGCUAGAGUAUCGGAGAGGUUGGUGGAAUUCUCGGUGUAGAGGUGAAAUUCGUAGAUAUCGGGAGGAACACCGGUGGCGAAGGCGGCGACCUGGGUAGAUACUGACGCUGAGGCGCGAAAGCGUGGGGAGCAAACAGG